RNAcentral lists this ribosomal RNA (283 nucleotides) under uncultured bacterium. RNAcentral describes it as "partial 16S ribosomal RNA". It matches the Rfam family "Bacterial small subunit ribosomal RNA", at positions 70 to 353 of the family's 1533-position model. The record is from RNAcentral.
CACCCCUCUCCGGAGGGAAGCGAGUGGCGAACGGCUGAGUAACACGUGGAGAACCUGCCCCCUCCCCCGGGAUAGCCGCCCGAAAGGACGGGUAAUACCGGAUACCCCCGGGCGCCGCAUGGCGCCCGGGCUAAAGCCCCGACGGGAGGGGGAUGGCUCCGCGGCCCAUCAGGUAGACGGCGGGGUGACGGCCCACCAAGCCGACGAUCAGUAGCCGACCUGAGAGGGUGACCGGCCACAUUGGGACUGAGACACGGCCCAGACUCCUACGGGAGGCAGCAUG